Molecule: ribosomal RNA, 358 nt
Filed under: uncultured bacterium
Lineage: Bacteria
Description: bacterial SSU rRNA
Rfam family: Bacterial small subunit ribosomal RNA
Source: RNAcentral
AACGAACGCUGGCGGCAGGCCUCAAACAUGCAAGUCUAGGGGGUGUAGCAAUACAUCACCGGCGGACGGGUGCGUAACACGUGGGAACGUACCCUUCGGUUCGGAAUAACUCAGGGAAACUUGAGCUAAUACCGGAUACGCCCUUUGGGGGAAAGGUUACUGCCGAAGGAUCGGCCCGCGUCUGAUUAGCUAGUUGGUGGGGUAAUGGCCCACCAAGGCGACGAUUCAGUAGCUGGUCUGAGAGGAUGANCAGCCACACUGGGACUGAGACACCGGCCCAGACUCCUACGGGGAGGCAGCAGGUGGGGAAUAUUGGACAAUGGGCGCAAGCCUGAUCCAGCCAUGCCGCGUGAGUGAU